AAACUCAAAUGAAUUGACGGGGCACCCGCACAAGCGGUGGAUGAUGUGGUUUAAUUCGAUGCAACGCGAAAAACCUUACCUACCCUUGACAUGUCAAGAAUUCUGCAGAGAUGUGGAAGUGCUCGAAAGAGAACUUGAACACAGGUGCUGCAUGGCCGUCGUCAGCUCGUGUCGUGAGAUGUUGGGUUAAGUCCCGCAACGAGCGCAACCCUUGUCAUUAGUUGCUACGAAAGGGCACUCUAAUGAGACUGCCGGUGACAAACCGGAGGAAGGUGGGGAUGACGUCAGGUCCUCAUGGCCCUUAUGGGUAGGGCUACACACGUCAUACAAUGGCCGGUACAGAGGGCUGCCAACCCGCGAGGGGGAGCUAAUCCCAGAAAACCGGUCGUAGUCCGGAUCGUAGUCUGCAACUCGACUGCGUGAAGUCGGAAUCGCUAGUAAUCGCGGAUCAGCUUGCCGCGGUGAAUACGUUCCCGGGUCUUGUACACACCGCCCG
This 496-nucleotide ribosomal RNA is filed under the name uncultured Pseudomonadota bacterium. RNAcentral describes it as "bacterial SSU rRNA". It matches the Rfam family "Bacterial small subunit ribosomal RNA", at positions 897 to 1396 of the family's 1533-position model. The record is from RNAcentral. Lineage: Bacteria; Pseudomonadati; Pseudomonadota.